UACUGUCCUUUUAACUUCCUCACUCAUUUCACUCUCCAUCAGGAAGCCCAGGUUUAGAUGACCCUCAGCAGAGACAUUGCACUCGGGAACAAAAUGAAAAUAUAACCACUAAAGACGUACACGCUCUCUGCAUCUUUCUUCAGCUCACUGUGACUCAUUGUUACAUAAGAACUGGACCAGAUGGUGAUCCACUGAGACUACAAAACAGGCUGUAUGCCUUUUGGCCCUUAACCUGAAAAUGCUUCACCAUGUGCACAGUAUAUACACAGGCUGCCACAGACAAAUAAGAAAAACAGAGAAGACUCAAGAAAAAAACAGCCAUAGGAAACCACCCCAAGACUUCAACAUGGAUUGCACCCCCUUCUUUGCUGGUUCCUGGAAGAUUCCUAGAGGUGAGGGAAGAGUGAGACUUCCUCAUGAAGAUUUUUUAGGUACAGACGGCAUUAUAAGGAGGUAAUGAGCUGGCAGGGAGAUGAGGCA
Trachemys scripta elegans is the source of this 480-nucleotide long non-coding RNA. RefSeq lists it as uncharacterized. NCBI's taxonomy places the organism in Eukaryota, Metazoa, Chordata, Testudines, Emydidae. The transcript has 3 exons. The record is from RefSeq and is a predicted model, not a curated record.